GAGCGGCAAGGGGGAGCAAUCCCCCCUGGAGCGGCGGACUGGUGAGUAACGNGUGGAUAACNUGCCCUCCGGCCGGGGACAGCCGCUGGAAACAGCGGGUAAUACCGGAUGGGCCGUUCUGCGGUGGCGGGACGGGGAAAGGAGCCAGGGCUCCGCCGGGGGAGGGGUCCGCGUCCCAUUAGCUGGUUGGGGGUGUAAAGGACCACCAAGGCGAUGAUGGGUAGCCGGCCUGAGAGGGUGGACGGCCACACUGGGACUGAGAGACGGCCCAGACUCCUACGGGAGGCAGCAGCUAAGAAUAUUCCGCAAUGGACGAAAGUCUGACGGAGCGACGCCGCGUGGAUGAGGAAGGCCGAAAGGUUGUAAAGUCCUUUUGCGGACGAAGAAUAAGCGCGGGAGGGAAUGCCUGUGUGAUGACGAUAGUCCGNG
RNAcentral lists this ribosomal RNA (429 nucleotides) under uncultured Treponema clone CFS145p. RNAcentral describes it as "bacterial SSU rRNA". It matches the Rfam family "Bacterial small subunit ribosomal RNA", at positions 64 to 484 of the family's 1533-position model. Lineage: Bacteria; Pseudomonadati; Spirochaetota; Spirochaetia; Treponematales; Treponemataceae. The record is from RNAcentral.